UGUACAGCUGGACAAUGACAGUGAAGCCAUGCAAGAGUUGAACCAGUCACUAUGCAGUCAGCAGUUGUGUCGAAUCGAGUGCGGCACCCACUCAUCCACUUAGUCAGAGCGAUUGUUCAGCAAAGUUGGACAGAUUAUCACGGAACGACGAGCCUUAAAAGCUAAGCAUGUGGACAUGCUUCUUUUUCUUCAUCAUAACUCUUGGAUCUUGGCAGAAGACUAAA
Long non-coding RNA from Drosophila hydei, 224 nucleotides. RefSeq lists it as uncharacterized. The record is from RefSeq and is a predicted model, not a curated record. The transcript has 3 exons. NCBI's taxonomy places the organism in Eukaryota, Metazoa, Arthropoda, Insecta, Diptera, Drosophilidae.